AUAUCUUAUCUCUUCAUCCUUCUACCUCAAUUUAACAUUAUGAAAGGGAUCUAAAACACACGUAUCAAUAUUUUCUUGCCUUUUGCACCUCUUUAGUUAUAUCUUAUCUCUUCAUCCUUCUACCUGUUUCAAACAGAAACACACAGAAACAGCUCCUUAAAACAGCAUGACAGCUCCUUUAAACAGCAUGACAGCUCCUUUAAACAGGAUGAGAAAUUUCAC
RNAcentral lists this long non-coding RNA (222 nucleotides) under Lathyrus oleraceus (garden pea). Its description in RNAcentral is "Pisum sativum (pea) long non-coding RNA (PSAT_LNC034221)". The record is from RNAcentral. Lineage: Eukaryota; Viridiplantae; Streptophyta; Magnoliopsida; Fabales; Fabaceae.